Molecule: ribosomal RNA, 497 nt
Filed under: uncultured bacterium
Lineage: Bacteria
Description: partial 16S ribosomal RNA
Rfam family: Bacterial small subunit ribosomal RNA
Source: RNAcentral
GACGAACGCUGGCGGCGUGCCUAAUACAUGCAAGUAGAACGCUGAAGAGAGGAGCUUGCUCUUCUUGGAUGAGUUGCGAACGGGUGAGUAACGCGUAGGUAACCUGCCUUGUAGCGGGGGAUAACUAUUGGAAACGAUAGCUAAUACCGCAUAACAAUGGAUGACACAUGUCAUUUAUUUGAAAGGGGCAAUUGCUCCACUACAAGAUGGACCUGCGUUGUAUUAGCUAGUAGGUGAGGUAAUGGCUCACCUAGGCGACGAUACAUAGCCGACCUGAGAGGGAGAUCAGACACACUGGGACUGAGACACGGCGCAGACCUCUACGUGAGGCAGCAGGAGGGAAUGUUCGGGGAUGGGGGCAAGCGUGACCGAGUAAAGAGGCGUGAGUGUAGGAUGUUAUCGGAUCGUAAAGCUCCGGUGUAAGUCAAGAACGGGUGUGAGAGUGGAAAGUUCACACGGUGACGGUAGCUUAGCAGAAAGUGACGGCUAACUACGUG